Molecule: ribosomal RNA, 253 nt
Filed under: uncultured bacterium
Lineage: Bacteria
Description: partial 16S ribosomal RNA
Rfam family: Bacterial small subunit ribosomal RNA
Source: RNAcentral
UACGUAGGGUGCGAGCGUUGUCCGGAAUUAUUGGGCGUAAAGAGCUUGUAGGCGGUUUGUCGCGUCUGCUGUGAAAAUCCGGGGCUCAACCCCGGACUUGCAGUGGGUACGGGCAGACUAGAGUGUGGUAGGGGAGACUGGAAUUCCUGGUGUAGCGGUGAAAUGCGCAGAUAUCAGGAGGAACACCGGUGGCGAAGGCGGGUCUCUGGGCCGAUACUGAUGCUGAGGAGCGAAAGCGUGGGGAGCGAACAGG